CACCAACUAGUAUCCUUAUUGUCAAGAAUUAAUUUUAUCAACGACUUAUAAGUUUGGUAUGCAUAUUUCUUAUGAUGUUGAACCUUGACUUUGAGACACAUGAUGGCUUUGUUUUAUUUUUUUUGUUGAAUUUUCUAUCCUGUAAGUUUCAACUCCACUAGUAUCAUGUUUCCAUAGAUGAUGCUGUCUUAGAUGUUGGAGUCGUGACUCAUUCUUUAUACUGAUGUUUCUGUGUGGAAUUUUCCCAGUUGUCCUGUUCAUUGUUUGAUGUUUCUGUGUGUGUUGUAGCUGAAUUUGGUUGUAGCUUCUGCAAGCUUUCUUCACUUUCUUCCCUCCACUAUCUGUUAACAAGUUUGAUCUUUACAAUUCAGUUAUAAGAACAAACAAUAUGACCAAAGGUUGAUAACUUUGCUUCAUCCUUUUUACAUUUCAGUAUGUGGAUGAAAGCAAAUAUGUAUUGAUGUACCUAAAUGGAUUUACAAAAAUAUCUUUGAAAUGUUUUGUCAUACAGAUAUGGCAUCUAGUAUAAUUUUUUCCAACUUGAUUGUUGCAUUAUCAUAUAAUGAGAUUAGGUGCACAGCUUUCAGUCAGUUUAUUGUUUUUGCUAAAGAUCAUUGCUAGUAGGCCGACAAAAGACAGGUCUAAAAUGAAGCCUAAGAAAACAUGCUUAAGAUGAUAUUUUAAGAUUUUCUAAACAUUGGAUCUUUGCGGAAGGUUGUGAUUGGCACGACAAGUGUUCUAAAAUGAAGCCAAAGAAAAUGGGGGAGAAAAUAAGGUUGUGACAAAAAUUGAUUGGCAUCGGAAAGGAGACUAUUUUACUACUAUCGUUCCUAGUGAUAUCCUAAUUAUGAAUUUUAGUUGUACUUAUUUUUAGUCAUUCCUAGUGCCUAUUUUAUUCCUAGUCACCUUAUUUCAAUGACAAGAACAAGGGUUCUCAUGGCCAAUAUGUGUCUAUUAAUGGGAUUUUCAAUGUCUUGCUUACCACGCUAAUCCUACUUCUGAUUGGAUUUGCAGCUUCAAGAUAUCAAACUCUACACCUUCUAUAUGGAGCUAGAUUUGCAAAAGCCAUAUCCAACUCGAGGAAGUGACUUAUUGACAUGGGAGAGAACUUAUUGGUAACCAAGGACUUUGUGAAGAUAGCAAAUUCUGGCCUUGCUCGUGAAGUUCAUUCGAAGCCACCAUUCACAGAAUAGGUUUCAACACGCUGUUUACAAAUCUCAAGUACUC
Long non-coding RNA from Zingiber officinale, 1227 nucleotides. RefSeq lists it as uncharacterized. The record is from RefSeq and is a predicted model, not a curated record. The transcript is spliced from 4 exons. NCBI's taxonomy places the organism in Eukaryota, Viridiplantae, Streptophyta, Magnoliopsida, Zingiberales, Zingiberaceae.